UAGAAAUAACCCACAACCAAUGCACCACCACCAUGAUAUCAACAUUGGACUUUAUAGCCUCCUCAGCAGAGAAGAUUGACACCUUUUUCAGCGGGCUCUCAGAAUGUGGAGUUUUAGCCCAGUAUGAGCUGCAGCUCCUUGUUCCUGACUUUGAUGUUGAGCGCAAACACAGAGUUCUCAUAAUCUAUGAAAAUUUCCUGGAAGACAUUCAGCGGCUGCUGACCAUGCUGGAGGGCAUUUUGCCGGAGGGAGCAGUGGACCCGCCAUGUCCUGCCACCGGUGACGGACAGCAGCGGUCCAUGUGGUCUUCAGCAGAGCUGCCGCCGGGGCCGGAGUCGACUCCGCUCCCAGGGCGCGCGUGCGCCGUCGGCGCUCCAUCCGUCUCGUCCCCCCGUCGCGACGCCGGGUCACACCUGGUGACGGUGCUGGCCCCGGCGGAGGCCUCUCCGUCGUUCCUGCCCGCCCCGGCCACUGCCGUCGGUGGCACUGCCCCCGCCCUGCCCUUGGCCUCGGCCCCAAAAGCCGUGAGCUCGACUGGGGUCGGCUUAAACACGGUCGCCGCGGCGGGCGAUGGCGACGCGCUGGCCCCAAGCGGGGCUGCCAAGGAGAGCGGCGGCCGGCGAGGCUCUGGUGUCUCCGCGGGGCUGGCUCUGACAGCGCAGCCGUUGGCUGCCACCGGGCGGGGCUCGGCUCCUGGGAUGUCGCCAGCGCGUGAUGUGACGACGCCGGGGUCGGCGUCACGUGACUCGAGUGCGACCGCGCCGGUAGACGCACCGGAGGCCGCUGUGCCCAUGCGUACCGCGUCGGCCGCUGCCGUCGUGGCCGCCCGGACUGCACCCCAUACCGCUCUUGAGACGAUGCGGGAGGUCCCGGUGGCGGUGACUGA
Long non-coding RNA from Pollicipes pollicipes, 886 nucleotides. RefSeq lists it as uncharacterized. The transcript is spliced from 4 exons. The record is from RefSeq and is a predicted model, not a curated record. NCBI's taxonomy places the organism in Eukaryota, Metazoa, Arthropoda, Thecostraca, Pollicipedomorpha, Pollicipedidae.